This 229-nucleotide unclassified non-coding RNA is filed under the name plant metagenome. Its description in RNAcentral is "partial contains small subunit ribosomal RNA, internal transcribed spacer 1, and 5.8S ribosomal RNA". The record is from RNAcentral.
CGUAGGUGAACCUGCGGAAGGAUCAUUACUGAGUGAGGGCCCUCUGGGUCCAACCUCCCACCCGUGUUUAUUAUACCUUGUUGCUUCGGUGAGCCCGCCUCACGGCCGCCGGGGGGCAUCUGCCCCCGGGCCCGCGCCCACCGAAGACACCUAGAACUCUGUAUGAAGAUUGCAGUCUGAGCAAAAACUAAAUAAGUUAAAACUUUCAACAACGGAUCUCUUGGUUCCG